This 203-nucleotide unclassified non-coding RNA is filed under the name Hevea brasiliensis (rubber tree). Lineage: Eukaryota; Viridiplantae; Streptophyta; Magnoliopsida; Malpighiales; Euphorbiaceae. The record is from RNAcentral.
GCGAAUUUUGAACUUGAGCUUCAGGUUGAUUAAUUAAAUUAAGCAUUACUGAGCUUAAACACCUGAUCCUUAGCUCAGCUCUCAUUGUUUACAUUAUACGCAGUUCAUAAUUUCAUUGCAUUACAAUAAAUAUUGAAAAGAAAUAAACUUUCAUUUCCGAAGAAAAAGGAAAGAAAACAUGAAAUUUAUUCUUCAUUCCUGUU